This 67-nucleotide microRNA precursor is filed under the name Marmota monax (woodchuck). The record is from RNAcentral. Lineage: Eukaryota; Metazoa; Chordata; Mammalia; Rodentia; Sciuridae.
UUUUAUGCAUGAGCAAAGACAGUGAUUUUAUUGAGAUGGAAUUUAAUUUUGGUGACAGUACUGUGAA